GAUGAAGAACGUAGCGAAAUGCGAUAAGUAAUGUGAAUUGCAGAAUUCAGUGAAUCAUCGAAUCUUUGAACGCACAUUGCGCCCCCUGGUAUUCCGGGGGGCAUGCCUGUUCGAGCGUCAUUUCACCACUCAAGCCUCGCUUGGUAUUGGGCAACGCGGUCCGCCGCGUGCCUCAAAUCGACCGGCUGGGUCUUCUGUCCCCUAAGCGUUGUGGAAACUAUUCGCUAAAGGGUGUUCGGGAGGCUACGCCGUAAAACAACCCCAUUUCUAAGGUUGACCUCGGAUCAGGUAGGGAUACCCGCUGAACUUAAGCAUAUCAAUAAGCGGGGGA
Molecule: unclassified non-coding RNA, 331 nt
Filed under: soil metagenome
Description: partial contains 5.8S ribosomal RNA, internal transcribed spacer 2, and large subunit ribosomal RNA
Rfam family: 5.8S ribosomal RNA (bases 1-120)
Source: RNAcentral